Molecule: RNA transcript, 3379 nt
Organism: Gymnogyps californianus (California condor)
Lineage: Eukaryota; Metazoa; Chordata; Aves; Accipitriformes; Cathartidae
Gene: EIF1B
Gene name: eukaryotic translation initiation factor 1B
Exons: 5
Source: RefSeq, a predicted model, not a curated record
CCCUUUUUAUUUCCCUUUGCGCUUUCUCCUCCUUUCACUCCUUUCUCUCUCUCUCUCCCCCCCCCCCCCACCCCCUUCCCUCCCUCUCAGAUUCGCCUCCCUCCCUCUGCUUUUGUUAUCCCUCCCCUCGCUUCCUCCCCUCCCUCCCCGCUCCCUCCCCUCCCCGCUCCCCGCCCCCGCCGGCACUGCGGAGCCGGAGACGUGACCCGAGCGGACCCAGCCGCGGCCUUUUCCCCGCUGCUCCAGCCUCUCGCCGCAGAGUCGCAUGUCAUCUAUCCAGAACCUCCAGUCCUUCGACCCCUUUGCUGAUGCAACAAAGGGUGACGACUUACUCCCGGCGGGGACUGAGGAUUACAUUCAUAUAAGGAUCCAGCAACGAAACGGAAGAAAGACACUAACAACUGUUCAGGGAAUUGCAGAUGAUUAUGACAAGAAGAAACUUGUGAAAGCUUUCAAAAAGAAAUUUGCUUGUAAUGGUACUGUGAUUGAACAUCCUGAAUACGGUGAAGUUAUCCAGCUUCAAGGUGACCAGAGGAAGAACAUUUGCCAAUUUCUCUUGGAGAUUGGCAUUGUCAAGGAAGAACAACUGAAAGUUCAUGGCUUCUAAAAUACCUGUACUCUCAUGAAGAACCCUGCAGUGUUUGGUCUUACCUAGCCUGGCUCUUCUGUGAAAAAUGAAUCUUUGCAGUGAAUGGACUUCCCUGUUACCUGAACAUUUAAAAUUUGAUUCAGAUUUGCAUGACUGCACGAAACAUGUGACAAUUCCACCUGUAAGAAUCCAGUAUCCAGUCUCUCAAGCUCCACAAAUUCUGCCUGGUGUUACAGAUCUUAACUGUUCCAGAGAAAGGAUGUUCCAGAAGAUUGUAUACUGUUAAGGUAUAAUAUUUUCAAGAGGAGGAGGAGGGAGUGCCUGCUGCAAAACAUGAAAUACCAGCACACAGAACGAAAAUCCAAAGAAUAAGUCUUAUGCAAGUCUUACACAUUAGCAGAAUAAAAUCAUUGUACUGCAAGUUUACCUAGUCCUGAUUCAUAGAUGCUAAAGUAAUUAAUCCUUUGGGGGUACACAGCACUUGGUGAUUUUCAUUUUAUCAAAUGCCAGAAAAACUGACAUUCUCAUUUAAAGCUUGUUCUCCUGUCCAAGAGGAAAAACAAGCAGUAUCUUCUCCUAUUUCACUGGUGCUACAUGAGUACUUCUAGUGGGUUUUGAAUUGGAGAUUAACAAAUGAUUAGCAAGUCUCAUGUGUUACUGAGUCAGUCUUCAUUUCAGAUGGCAUUCCAUUAACUUUUACUACCUAAGCUUGAGUCAUUUCUCCAUAGUCAUUCUGCUUGGAAUAAAUAAGAAAAACCUUUGUUUUCUCCUCCUUGUUUAAAAGUCCUUUCUGAUGGGAGGACCCCUGCAGUUGAUAGGUGGCUUGGUUUUUAUGCUCUAGCGGAGCUGCUUGUGUUUUGACCUUUGAAGGGCAAAAUUAAAAGGAGAGGGAAUAAGAAGUAACACAUUUGAAGUUUAAAUAGAUGAGAUUUGUUGUGGGAACAAACAAUCUUUCUAGAAGAAAAGCAGAAAUUUUUGUCCUUGAAGUGUUUUAAACUAGAACAGUGUCUCUGAGCUUGUCACUAGCCUUGUUACAAGCCCAAGCCUCUUUGCAUGUUCUAGAGGAAAGGCUUCAACAAUCUCAUUUUUUAUCAUCUUACACUGAAACUUCUUUGUCAAAGCUCAGCCUAUUUGGAAUAUCUGUCUGUCUUUCAAGAAUGCUGAAAAACAUGGAAGACUUUGGGAAAGAACUGUUUAAAUUUCUGCCAUGAAAACCUGUUUUCACAGUGAAGGCAGGUUUCAGUCUUUCCAUCUAUACUGAAAUAGGUUAAAAAAUGGUAAAGGAUGUGGCCCAUAAUUGUUGAGGCAGUAAAAGGGAGCUAAUAAUAGAAAACACUUUUAAAACCCACUAGUAGGUGGGUUGAGACUGGACAAGCUCAGACUGCAAAGAGUCAUGGCUUCUUUUUGUUGUAAUGUUGUGAAGUCUGUGUCCUUCAGAUCUCCAAAUCAAGAUUGCCGCCUUAGUGAUACCUAGGCUUAACCACAAGCUGCAAUUGGAUGUAGGGACUGCUGUUGGAAUUUCACAGCCUUGCUGUGCAUAGUUAUAUUGGGCUGUUGUGGCUGACUUUUAGCUGAUAACUGGAGUAAGGUGUUGCAUAAAUAAAUUCAUUGAAUUGUCUGUUCAGAGCCUACAUCUACUUAAUGCAGCUAUGAACAAUGAAACUAUUGCUUCCCAAAUGGUGGUAGCAAUCCUUGUUUGUACAAGAUGAGAUUUAGUAAUUUAAGUCUGUAAGCUGCCUACUUCUUGUUGUGUGAAUUGUCAGGCCCUUGAUCUUCACCUGUGGUCUGCUAAAUCUGACCGUGUGUUUCAGAGAUGAGUGUGAAGAGCACAACUAUGGGCAGAUGAGCAAUAAUUUUCUCAAGUGAAAGAACCUUUGAAAAGAAUAGUGCCUAGGUUGUGUGUGCAUACUAUUCAUUGGUUCAAUGGCUUUGCUUAAACCUUCCUUCCUGCACUACAUUCUUGCACAGCCUAAAUGAAAAGCAUUUUGUUCUGGAGAAGUUUUUUGUGGAGGGAGGAGGGAUCCCCACAAAAAAAAAACCUUAGGAAAUAAGUUUAUAUCUUAAGUCUGUUUUCAUUAACUUAGAUUCUCCUGGACUGCCAGAGCUCUAUAACAUUGUUAUUUCUGUUUCUGUAUCUGUAAAAAUCCUAACUAAACUUCCUUGAGAGUUUGGCAUUUAAGGUUCUAAAUAUGUCUAAAGCUGUUAUAAAACUUAAAAUUGUGAAGAGUUGUUGAAGCAUUUUUAUUUGAAAAAAUAAUAAUUAAGCAGAGCUCUGCAUUUUGUUCUACACUGCCAUUCUGCUUAUAAUCAGUAUGUAGUUACCCUGAAGAUGCAUACGUAUUUACAGACUUCCCAGUAAGCAGAUAUCCCUGCUGUAGUGUAAUAUCCUGUUUGUAGUUUUUCUAAGAUCUUAUACAAGAUUGGUAUUUAGCCAGUUAAAGAAUGGGGAGGUUUACUGUCACUUUUGGUGUGUUCAGUGUUUAUUAGUGUCACUGAGUGUUCCUCUAAUUAGUGUGCUGCUGCCACUAGGGAAAUGGAAGUGGUCUUAGAGGGUCAUGUGUAUUUAAGUACAAAGAAUCUGCCUUUCUCCUAAGACUCUCCAUGCAUCCGUUUAUUUAGGAACAUGUCCCCCAUGCACAGCAACAUGAGGGUUAUUUUCCAGCUGCCAGAUCAAAAGCUAUUGAGAUGAAUAAGGGAAAAAUGACAUAGUUGUUUUGUUUGCUGUACAGUUGCUUCAUGCCUACUGUUUCUAGUUUACAUUAAAAAAAAUAAAAGAGGAUUUGUACUUGG